Molecule: ribosomal RNA, 339 nt
Filed under: uncultured bacterium
Lineage: Bacteria
Description: bacterial SSU rRNA
Rfam family: Bacterial small subunit ribosomal RNA
Source: RNAcentral
CUAGCGACUUCAGAGUUUGAUCCUGGCUCAGGAUGAACGCUAGCUACAGGCUUAACACAUGCAAGUCGAGGGGUUUCGAAGAGCUUGCUCCGAGAAACGACCGGCGCACGGGUGAGUAACGCGUAUCCAACCUGCCCUUCAUAUUGGGAUAGCCUUCCGAAAGGGAGAUUAAUACCGAAUAACAUGAGAAGAUUGCAUGAACCUCUCAUGAAAGCUCCGGCGAUGAAGGAUGGGGAUGCGUUCCAUUAGGUAGUAGGCGGGGUAACGGCCCACCUAGCCGACGAUGGAUAGGGGUUCUGAGAGGAAGGUCCCCCACACUGGAACUGAGACACGGUCCAG